RNAcentral lists this long non-coding RNA (419 nucleotides) under Junco hyemalis (dark-eyed junco). Its description in RNAcentral is "lncRNA (ENSJHYG00000007801.1)". The record is from RNAcentral. Lineage: Eukaryota; Metazoa; Chordata; Aves; Passeriformes; Passerellidae.
CUAAUGUUUUAGUAAAGGUGUCAUUCAUGCUGCUGCUCCUCUGUUUGCUUUACAACUACAUCAUAUUCUAGCCUUGAAAACCUCCUGGACAUUGAUUUCUUUUAUGGAUUUAAAGGAACACUGCUUCAGAGUGACAACAUCGAUGGCAAACCUAACGAAUUACCCCAGGUAUUAUGAUCAACCAGGAAAUUUUGUGGCCAAGUAUCUCUAGAGAGCAUUCAGCAGGAAAUCCAGCCAACCAGGUUCAACACUGGCUUCAAAGGGAGGAGUAUUUGUUUUCCUCUGAUUGGUUAACACCACUUUUCUGGAUGGAAUUGAGACAGAACAGCAACUCUGUUAGCCUCUGGAUAAAUUGCUUUACGACUUCAAUCUACAUUAGAACAACCAAACACAAGUAUGCUGUCCCUCCUGGUUCUCCG